AACGAACGCUGGCGGCAUGCCUAACACAUGCAAGUCGAACGAAGGCUUCGGCCUUAGUGGCGCACGGGUGCGUAACGCGUGGGAAUCUGCCCUUUGGUUCGGAAUAACAGCUGGAAACGGCUGCUAAUACCGGAUGAUGACGAAAGUCCAAAGAUUUAUCGCCAGAGGAUGAGCCCGCGUUGGAUUAGGUAGUUGGUGGGGUAAAGUCCUACCAAGCCGACGAUCCAUAGCUGGUCUGAGAGGAUGAUCAGCCACACUGGGACUGAGACACGGCCCAGACUCCUACGGGAGGCAGCAGUGGGGAAUAUUGGACAAUGGGCGCAAGCCUGAUCCAGCAAUGCCGCGUGAGUGAUGAAGGCCCUAGGGUUGUAAAGCUCUUUUACCCGGGAAGAUAAUGACUGUACCGGGAGAAUAAGCCCCGGCUAACUCCGUG
RNAcentral lists this ribosomal RNA (433 nucleotides) under uncultured bacterium. RNAcentral's name for it is "partial 16S ribosomal RNA". It matches the Rfam family "Bacterial small subunit ribosomal RNA", at positions 29 to 507 of the family's 1533-position model. The record is from RNAcentral.